UUUAAAGUUAAAAUGUGCAAUCUUUAUUCUGACAUUCAGAUACAUCAAAAAAAAAAUUUUUUUUUCAGUAAUAAAACUAACUGCAGCAUUUUAGCUGCAACUGGCUUUUGAGGAUAAAGCACAUGCACCUGUUCCAGUUGGUUUAUUGCACAUCAUUAGGUACAGUAAUCAUGUAUUAUUCUCCAUUCACAUGUGUAGUAGGAAUAUCCGUUUCCCACCACCAUAUACAUUUUCCAUAAACAAAACUAAAUUUUCACAUAAGUUGUUAUGACAUAAAUCAUAAAAUAUAUUUGGUAAUAUAAUAUAGUUAAUUGUAGCACUUUUUAGGUGUAACUUAACUUUUGCCCUGGGAGUUUAUUUCCCCACAGAAAAACAGUCAGCAAUGAGGAAUCAAUACUGUCAACAGUGCUGCACAUACCACCCACCACUACUUAGUGAAUUUUUUCACUGGCAAUUAGUGCAGCAGAAACAUAGGAAAGAAAGCAUUGUGCUUAGGUUAACCAGUUUGAUUCAGCAUUGAGUACCAAGUUUGUACAUGAUUUUGUUAAAAAUGCUAUCCUGAUAAGACAUUUUGCCAUGAAACAAAAGCAUGCAAGGUAAAAUGUUAAAUAAAAUGCACCAUAGGAAUGUUUUAAAAUUUGUUCCAUGGUGUUAUACAGAAUUGAUUAUAACCAGUUAAAAAAUUUUUCAUUUCAAAAUGAAAGCGUUUAUUAAUUGUGAUAAGAGAAAAUUAGCAUGGUUUUACAUGAUCCCUCAAUGUUGGCAACACAUAUGCUAAAACAUACAUUUGAUAAAAACUUCCUAAGAAACAGUCCAAAAAUUUCAUAAGGCAGCUUACUAAAAGCUUCAGUAUAUUUUAAGUAUAUUUUGUUCCUAAGUAUAUUUUGCCCUAUUAAAAUGUUAACUUUUUGGAAUUGUAUUAUCAGCCAAUCAAAGCCUGCUAAACCUAAUACUGCUGCAUAUAAAAUACUAAUAUAUAUUAAGAAGGUCUCUGCUAAAGAAAUUAUUUUUGGUAUGGUACAAAGUAGAGAAAUCUAUCAUUCAGUGAAC
Molecule: long non-coding RNA, 1050 nt
Filed under: Sarcophilus harrisii (Tasmanian devil)
Lineage: Eukaryota; Metazoa; Chordata; Mammalia; Dasyuromorphia; Dasyuridae
Description: lncRNA (ENSSHAG00000028262.1)
Source: RNAcentral